AUUAGCAUGGCAGAACUAAUGCAACUGUCUUAAGAUCAGUUCAAAACCRCCAGGUUUGCUAACA
Molecule: transfer RNA, 64 nt
Filed under: Trichuris trichiura (human whipworm)
Lineage: Eukaryota; Metazoa; Nematoda; Enoplea; Trichinellida; Trichuridae
Description: tRNA-Leu
Source: RNAcentral